GCACCACGUUGGAAGUCUGUGAAUCCACAAUCACUGCAUCUCAGCACACGCGUGUGAACCAUCGUGUACUUUGUGCAGAAAUAGGCUCUGAGCAAGGGAGGGCAGGGCAGUUAGAGUCGAGGUUAAGAUACUUCUCCAACUGCAGACAGCGCUCGGUGUGUACAGGCACAUAGCUAUCUUACCUGUCAGACAGACAGUCCAGGGGAGACACCUGUAAGACAAAGCAGAAAAAAGAUCUUGGAGAAGGGCGUCUGCUGGUUUUUGAAGGACACGGUCCCAAAUCACAGAGGGAAGAUUAAUAGCCCUUCCCCACAUGCUGAGAGGACACCCCGGCGGGCGUUUGAUGAGACAGGUUGCCAACGCCAGGCAGACCAGGAGAAUGGGACAGUCGGUGCGAGGCUGGCCCUAGUUAUGAAACUAGCUGGUGCUGUGAACUGGACAACUUGGCCAGGGGACCUGGUGAGGUCAGCAGGAUCGUGAAGAGGUGAGUGACCUGGACCCACACAACAGGUGGGCCUGCAGAUUUGAGGUGGGCCAGGGGCAGGCGGCCAAAGAGAAGGUGCACUUUUGGGAGUGGAAGCAGUGUGUCUCCAGAGGUGCACACGCACGGAGAAUGCACAAAGAAAGCAGCACGACCACCACCCUAGGGCAGCAGUAGCCUGGGCAGCGGCAGAUUCUCAUGCCACAGCAGCAAGAUCCCAAGACAAUGUAGGCAGCACCCACACUAAAAUCUCGAGGACCAGCUUGACACACAGGUAGGUGGUGCCAACCUGGCAUGUGGAUAAAGAAGACAGAAGCAGCAGGGCUUGGUCUCUACACCUGGUAGUGUGAUAAACUGAAAAAACUGCUGUAGAGUUUGAAAAAGGGGAAGAAAAUUGUAUUCACCUAAAUUCCCCUGGAAAGGAGAAACUGUCUUUGCUGGGAACAAUAUUUUGAUUAGUGCUUAAGUCUGAAGCUGAGAUCCCAGUGGCGGCAUGGGUGUAGGUGGAACAGCUCUGCAUGAGAGACGGGAAAGAGUUUUUGAAUUUUGCAUGUUAAACCAAAGAGAGAGGGGAAGAAAGGAGGCUGCUCUUCGGUACUGUUCACUGUGAGGCCCUUUCCCUAUCGCCCCGCUAAAUUUUCAGAAAGUUAUGAAGAUCGUGAAAUGCUUGGGGUCAAGUGGAGUGUGUAUACUUGAUAUUUACGUGCACAUAUUCACGUGUGCGGGGUUGGUGCCUCAGGUUGAAACAGAUGACGAGCAGAGCCCAGGCACUGGCAGGGAUGCAGAGGGAGAGAAGGCGCUCAGAGAGGAGAGAUACCACUAUAGGGGUGCUAGAGGCAGGGGCAAGUUUAGCCAAAUCUCAGCAGGGUGCGGCCCCAGUUGAUUUCUGGGUGACUAAAUUCUGCCAGUGUCGUUUUGGUUAUUCUCAGUUCUGUUUGCUGUAUCCAAAUCAACUAACAACAACAACAACAACCACACACACACACACACACACACACACACACACGGAAACUCUUCAGGAACUGAAAACCAGGUAUCUAUGUACUAGGUGGGCUAUAAUGUUGAUGUCCAGCUGGGACUCUCAGGCCCACUUCAGAGCGGAAUCACAGCCAAGGACCAGCCUCCUUUGAUGUUGCCAUGCCACCCCAUCUUCCCUAAGUUCCUGUCGAGAGGAUGAGGGUGGCACCAGCAUCUUGCAGCCUUGGUUCUGGUUAGGUCUACACUGGCAGGCAUCAGUGCCCUCUCCCUGUCAAAGAUAUUAUUGAUUGCUUGCUGGAUCUUAGUUCCCCAACCAGGGAUCCAACCUGGGCCCUGGCAGUGAAAGCACCGAGUCCUAACCACUAGACUGCCGGGAAAUUCCCAUCCCUGUCAAAGAUCUUUAACUGGGGCAGGGCCAGGGCCACAAGAGGCAGCUGGGGUUAGUAAUCUAGAAAGGCUCCUCGAAAGAGCCUUGAGUCUUCAAUAUUGACAUCUUCAAGCCAAGAGAGGCAGAGUUGAACCUUCCUAACCAGAAAAGUCCCUUGUUGGCCCACUGAGUCCUGCCCGCCUCCCCUCAGCUGCUCUUCCCAGGGGCAGUUCUUGAAGGCAAUAAGGAAAUGACAAUGCCAAAGACGGGCCCAGUUUAUCCUGAGAUUUUUGGUCUCUCUCAUCUCUCCAUACCUGCACCUGGCUCUCCUUGAGAAUAACCCCCAGGCCUAGGGCAAGAAACACCUCUUGAGCAAUUCACGUGCAGCCCAGGAAGCAAGUGGGAAGGAAUGACUUCUGUCGUGAUCUUCUGAGAUGCCGUGUGGAGUCCUUUGAGAGAACUAGAAUGGUGCUGGCGUGGGGACCCAAGCUCAUGGCCAAUGAGGCAGGAAACUUGUGAUGCAUGGAGGAUGGCAACACGGGCUGAAGAUUUUCAGUGUCCUGGCUGCUGUACACAUCUGCAAUCCUUGAAUGCACAGUCAUGGUGGAAAGUGGUUGACACGUGGAAGGCCUAGCACUACUAUCCCAGGUGCCUGUAUUUGGCCUCCAGGCUUCUGUUCUCCUUGUGCUGGAGCAUCAAGGCCUUGUUGAGGUUCUCGACCACAGCAGACAUGUACCUGAUGGCCCGAACCUCCCCCUGGUUGAACAUUGUGGAGUCUAGGAGUUCCUGCAGCAUGGACUUCACCUCGGAGACCCUUAUGCAGCCUUGUUCCCCAGAACCUGCACGAGGCCGCAGCUCCAGGGACCACCAACGAGGACCUGUCUCCACAUCACACCUUCCUUCAGCCCUGAGGGACAGCCCAGAACUGCUCACUUCUCAGCUUGGGUCCACCACCCCAAACUCUUACCACUGACCAUCCACCUCAGCUAAAGCUUUUGUUAUGGAGGAGAAUCAGAAAGACUCCCAUAGACCCUGGUGUGUGACUUCUUUCCUUGAGAUGGCAUCUGCCCCAGCUCCCCUGCCAGGUGCUCCUGGAACCUACUUUGUGCCCCUUUCCUUUGUCCUUCAAUGAGAGUGGAGCAGAGGGAAAUGAGAGACUCGAUGCCUCCUUUGGUGGCGAUGAGGGAGAGAGGUAACCCCUUCUCCAUCACCUCGAUCCAUUCAUCCAGGGCUUCCUCUUCCUCCUCACUCUACCUGUUCCUGAUCUCAUAGGUCAGACUGUCACCUGGAGAGAGAGUGGGAGAUGCAGGCUGAGAAUAGUCUGUCCUCUAGGGAGCCCCAAAUAGCCCUAUAGGAUAGGGGUUACACCAGCAGGCUUUGAGGUUGGAUUGGUUUAACCUCUUAUUAGCUGUAUGAUGUUGAGCAAGUCACUUAUUUCCCUAGCCUUAGUAUCCUUGCCAAAAAAGGGUUGGGUAUGGAUUAAAUAAUACUAGUGAAAUGAUUAACAUGAGACCUGCCAUGUAGAAAAUAUGCAUAGACAUAAAACAGCACUGUUGUACUACAAGGUCAGCAAUGUGCCUAUCUUGUUAUUGCUCUAUCCUCACUGCCUAGUCCAAUAUCUGGACAAUUAAAUGAAUUAACUGCAGUCAACAGCCCUGCUUAGUUCUUGGGGGCAGCUGAAGGACCACUGAGCCGAGAGCUCCUCAGGGGCAGGGCAACGUGAGUAGGGGUAGGACAUAUCCGUAUACCACCUUCCUCCAACACUGCAGCAUCCGCCAUACCUCACACCAGACUGAGGUCUCCUGAUCGGAUAACUCUGGUCUUAACAGGGGUAGCAUCUGGCUCCAGGGCUGCAUGCUGCUGGUCCACACCCAAAUGGCUAUACCAGUUGCUUACAGCUGGCAUCAGUGCUGUUUGGCUCAGUAUCCAUUCAGUACUUUGAAUAUCACCCUUGAGUCCCUCUAUAAAAUAGCUAGUGUGCUUCACAAAAAACAAUUAGAACUAAUAAACAAAUUCAAUAAAGUUACAGGAUCCAAAAUCAACAUAUAAAAGUCAGUUGCAU
This is a long non-coding RNA of Delphinapterus leucas (beluga whale), 3888 nucleotides long. RefSeq lists it as uncharacterized. Lineage: Eukaryota; Metazoa; Chordata; Mammalia; Artiodactyla; Monodontidae. The record is from RefSeq and is a predicted model, not a curated record.